RNAcentral lists this unclassified non-coding RNA (253 nucleotides) under uncultured Rhodospirillales bacterium. Its description in RNAcentral is "contains 16S-23S intergenic spacer region". It matches the Rfam family "Bacterial small subunit ribosomal RNA", at positions 524 to 776 of the family's 1533-position model. The record is from RNAcentral. Lineage: Bacteria; Pseudomonadati; Pseudomonadota; Alphaproteobacteria; Rhodospirillales.
UACGGAGGGGGCUAGCGUUGUUCGGAAUUACUGGGCGUAAAGCGCGCGUAGGCGGUGCGUCAAGUCAGGGGUGAAAGGCCUGGGCUCAACCUGGGAACGGCCCUUGAGACUGGCGCGCUUGAGACCGGGAGAGGGUGGCGGAAUUCCCAGUGUAGAGGUGAAAUUCGUAGAUAUUGGGAAGAACACCGGUGGCGAAGGCGGCCACCUGGUCCGGAUCUGACGCUGAGGCGCGAAAGCGUGGGGAGCAAACAGG